CGUCCUGAAAUCGAGGGGGAUUUUGGAUUCAGGUGUAGCGUUCGGUAAGGCUGGGCCGCCUCUCGUGCAGACGUUGCGGGUCGCCCGCGUGCGAGUUCUUCGCGCGCGGUGUCGCUCCCGCGAUCGCUCGCCGGGUUGGCGUAGUUACCCAGGCCGUGGCACCGCACUUCCUCCCCAGUAGAUGCGUCGCGGCUCGUUGGGACUGAACCGGUCUGAAGGCCCGGGAUGGCAGCCCGCAGCCCCCUUUGCGCCUGACCGCGCAGGGGCUCGGACUCCCGGUCGCCCGGCCGUGGCCCGACGGUAUGACCAGAGGAGACGAUCCGCUUUGUUGAGAAUGUGUUGUGAAGCGUCCGUGACUGGCUGCGUGGAGUGGCUGGGUGUGAACCUUGAACGUGCAGGGUGGGGUGUCCGUGCGAGUCACGGCACCUAGACCCCCGCUCGUCCGCAGACCCGUAUUCUCGGACGGGAUCGAGCCUCCCGCCUGCGGCGCCAUCCUUCGGAUGGUCUCCCG
Molecule: ribosomal RNA, 511 nt
Filed under: Diapheromerinae sp. SB0524
Lineage: Eukaryota; Metazoa; Arthropoda; Insecta; Phasmatodea; Diapheromeridae
Description: partial large subunit ribosomal RNA
Source: RNAcentral